This 492-nucleotide ribosomal RNA is filed under the name uncultured bacterium. RNAcentral describes it as "partial 16S ribosomal RNA". It matches the Rfam family "Bacterial small subunit ribosomal RNA", at positions 29 to 507 of the family's 1533-position model. The record is from RNAcentral.
AGUGAACGCUGGCGGUAGGCCUAACACAUGCAAGUCGAACGGCAGCACAGUAAGAGCUCGCUCUUACGGGUGGCGAGUGGCGGACGGGUGAGGAAUACAUCGGAAUCUACUUUUUCGUGGGGGCUAACGUAGGGAAACUUACGCUAAUACCGCAUACGACCUACGGGUGAAAGCAGGGGAUCUUCGGAACUUGCGCGAUUGAAUGAGCCGAUGUCGGAUUAGCUAGUUGGCGGGGUAAAGGCCCACCAAGGCGACGAUCCGUAGCUGGUUUGAGAGGAUGAUCAGCCACAUCUGGACUGAGACACGGCCCAAACUCCUACGGGAGGCAGCAGUGGGGAAUCUUUGACAAUGGGCGGAAGCCUGAUCCAGCCACGCCGCGUGGGUGAAGAAGGUCUUCGGAUUGUAAAACCCUUUUUUUUGGGAAGAAAGUGCGUGAGUUUAACCCCUCACGUUUCGACGGUAUCCAAACAAAAAGCCCCUGCUAACUUCGUG